Molecule: long non-coding RNA, 1504 nt
Filed under: Oncorhynchus kisutch (coho salmon)
Lineage: Eukaryota; Metazoa; Chordata; Actinopteri; Salmoniformes; Salmonidae
Description: lncRNA (ENSOKIG00005021522.1)
Source: RNAcentral
CAUGACAUCACUCUGUAUUCGGCUUUUCAUGACAUCACUCUGUAUUCAGCUUUUCAUGACAUCACUCUGUAUUCAGCUUCUCAUGACAUCACUCUGUAUUCAGCUUUUCAUGACAUCACUCUGUAUUCAGCUUUUCAUGACAUCACUCUGUAUUCAGCUUCUCAUGACAUCACUCUGUAUUCAGCUUUUCAUGACAUCACUCUGUAUUCAGCUUCUCAUGACAUCACUCUGUAUUCAGCUUUUCAUGACAUCACUCUGUAUUCAGCUUUUCAUGACAUCACUCUGUAUUCAGCUUUUCAUGACAUCACUCUGUAUUCAGCUUUUCAUGACAUCACUCUGUAUUCAGCUUUUCAUGACAUCACUCUGUAUUCAGCUUCUCAUGACAUCACUCUGCAUUCAGCUUUUCAUGACAUCACUCUGCAUUCAGCUUUUCAUGACAUCACUCUGUAUUCAGCUUCUCAUGACAUCACUCUGCAUUCAGCUUCUCAUGACAUCACUCUGUAUUCAGCUUUUCAUGACAUCACUCUGUAUUCAGCUUUUCAUGACAUCACUCUGUAUUCAGCUUCUCAUGACAUCACUCUGCAUUCAGCUUUUCAUGACAUCACUCUGUAUUCAGCUUUUCAUGACAUCACUCUGUAUUCAGCUUUUCAUGACAUCACUCUGUAUUCAGCUUCUCAUGACAUCACUCUGCAUUCAGCUUCUCAUGACAUCACUCUGUAUUCAGCUUUUCAUGACAUCACUCUGUAUUCAGCUUCUCAUGACAUCACUCUGCAUUCAGCUUUUCAUGACAUCACUCUGUAUUCAGCUUUUCAUGACAUCACUCUGCAUUCAGCUUCUCAUGACAUCACUCUGCAUUCAGCUUCUCAUGACAUCACUCUGCAUUCAGCUUCUCAUGACAUCACUCUGUAUUCAGCUUUUUUUGCCCCAGAGGCAACAAAACAUCACAUUUAAGAACAUUUUAAAGAUUUUUCAGAUUGCUACUCAAAUAUCUACAUGUGGUAGGUGCUAAAGUGACCCAUAGUUGAAUUACUGGUUGGGUUAUUUUUAACCCAUUUGUUUAUUGUGAGUACUUUCAACUUCCAACUACCUACAUACACAUGGUAUUGUAGGUACUAUAGUGGCAAAUGGUUGGGUCACUGGUUGUGUUAUUUUGAACCCAUUUGUUUAUUGUGAGUACCAUCAACUUCCGACAGGGAUGCUUUCUUUAUGGGGGCUCAUGGUCAAAAUGACCUAGCUGUACAGGUGAAGAUUGGCACAGAUCCAACUCCUUCUCCACAACCCCUCCCAUCCUCGGUCCCUUCUCCACACAUCUGAUUCAUUCCUCCUGUGCACCUCCCCUUGGCCAGGUAAACCAUAUAAAUAUUCAAUCCUCAGUUAGCUACCCAGGGAGCUCUUGGUUUCCAUCGAGACGUGGAGGAAGAGGGAGAGAGGCAGGUGUAGAUGUGCAACAGGUGGAGUUUCUCAGGAUAAGGAGGAAAUAAAUGAUCUUCACAAAACCACUGGG